RNAcentral lists this ribosomal RNA (424 nucleotides) under uncultured prokaryote. RNAcentral's name for it is "bacterial SSU rRNA". It matches the Rfam family "Bacterial small subunit ribosomal RNA", at positions 355 to 796 of the family's 1533-position model. The record is from RNAcentral.
UGGGGAAUCUUAGACAAUGGGGGAAACCCUGAUCUAGCGAUGCCGCGUGAGUGACGAAGGCCCUAGGGUCGUAAAGCUCUUUCAACUGUGAAGAUAAUGACGGUAGCAGUAGAAGAAACCCCGGCUAACUCCGUGCCAGCAGCCGCGGUAAUACGGAGGGGGUUAGCGUUGUUCGGAAUUACUGGGCGUAAAGCGCGCGUAGGCGGACUAUUAAGUCGAGGGUGAAAUCCCGGGGCUCAACCCCGGAACUGCCUUCGAUACUGGUAGUCUUGAGUUCGAGAGAGGUGAGUGGAAUUCCGAGUGUAGAGGUGAAAUUCGUAGAUAUUCGGAGGAACACCAGUGGCGAAGGCGGCUCACUGGCUCGAUACUGACGCUGAGGUGCGAAAGUGUGGGGAGCAAACAGGAUUAGAUACCCCCGUAGUCC